RNAcentral lists this ribosomal RNA (253 nucleotides) under uncultured bacterium. RNAcentral describes it as "partial 16S ribosomal RNA". It matches the Rfam family "Bacterial small subunit ribosomal RNA", at positions 524 to 776 of the family's 1533-position model. The record is from RNAcentral.
UACGGAGGGGGCUAGCGUUGUUCGGAAUUACUGGGCGUAAAGCGCACGUAGGCGGCUUUGUAAGUUAGAGGUGAAAGCCCGGGGCUCAACCCUGGAAUUGCCUUUAAGACUGCAUCGCUUGAACAUCGGAGAGGUAAGUGGAAUUCCGAGUGUAGAGGUGAAAUUCGUAGAUAUUCGGAAGAACACCAGUGGCGAAGGCGACUUACUGGACGAUUGUUGACGCUGAGGUGCGAAAGCGUGGGGAGCAAACAGG